Non-coding RNA from Orycteropus afer afer, 499 nucleotides. Lineage: Eukaryota; Metazoa; Chordata; Mammalia; Tubulidentata; Orycteropodidae. The record is from the annotation of a RefSeq genome assembly.
AUGGGGACGGUGCUGAUGUGGGCUUCCCUUCUCAUCACCAUCAAAGGUGCCCUGUGUGAUGUUCAGCUGGUGGAAUCAGGGGGAGAUGUGAGACAACCCGGAGGGUCUCUGAGCCUCUCCUGCAAAGCCUCUGGAUUCACCUUCACUGAUUAUGGGAUGGACUGGGUCCGGCAGGCUCCAGGGCAGGGGCUGGAGUGGGUGGCAGGAGUCAGUAAACCCAGUGGAAAGAAUCAGUGGUACUCUCCAUCAGUUCAAGGAAGAUUUACAAUAGCCAGGGACAACCCUACAAGCACAGUCUCCCUUAAAAUGACAAACCUGAAAGCUGAAGAUACUGCCGUGUAUUUCUGUGUGAGAGACACACUGAGGGGAAGUCAGUGUGAGCCCAGAUAUAAACCUCCCUGCAGGAAGGGGGCUGGGCUGUAGGGGGCGCUCAGGAUGUGUGGAGCAAAGGGACCCUGCUCAGAAGCAGGUGCAGAGGAAAGCCAUGGGUCCCUUUUAA